AAGGGCUGUUAUUGUGAAGUGGGAAUGUCUAGGAGCAACAACGGCUCAGCCAUGACGUGGUAGGCCACAGAACGGGUCCGCAGAGUGCCAUGGGUUCUAACUAGAACAGUUAACUCUACAGUCUGUAUUCUAACUAGAACAUAGAGUAGUUAACAACUGUUCUAGUUAGAAUCCAGACUGUAGAGUUAACACAUUGCCUAUACUAACUCUUAACACAGAGUGUUCCUGCCUGACUAGAUGGUCAGGUGUUAGUUAGUGUAGUGAUGUUCCUGUCUGACUAGAUGGUCAGGUGUUAGUUAGUGUAGUGAUGUUCCUGCCUGACUAGAUGGUCAGGUGUUAGUUAGUGUAGUGAUGUUCCUGCCUGACUAGAUGGUCAGGUGUUAGUUAGUUAGUUAGUG
This 398-nucleotide long non-coding RNA is filed under the name Salmo salar (Atlantic salmon). Its description in RNAcentral is "lncRNA (ENSSSAG00000116537.1)". The record is from RNAcentral. Lineage: Eukaryota; Metazoa; Chordata; Actinopteri; Salmoniformes; Salmonidae.